Molecule: ribosomal RNA, 546 nt
Filed under: Dynaspidiotus abietis
Lineage: Eukaryota; Metazoa; Arthropoda; Insecta; Hemiptera; Diaspididae
Description: eukaryotic LSU rRNA
Source: RNAcentral
AUCUGGGCGGCGGAAUUCAGGAUGGCCGGCGUGCUCUCGCGGUGCGUUGGUCGUUUGAUAUUUCCGUCGCCAACAAUCGCAGACGUCGCGACCUGUUCGCGGUCGGUCCUUGCUCGGAGGAGCCGCGUUCGAGCUCGUUGUGUGCGCGUUUCGGCGCGUCACACGGCGAAGGUGCGGAUCUCUGGCUGGCCGUCGGACAGUAUGCUUAACGGUGUCCGGUGUCGUCGUCUCGUACGCGCGGCAUCGGUACCGGUCAGCGACGAAUUCUUCGGGCCUCUUUCCGACCCGUCUUGAAACACGGACCAAGGAGUCUAACAUGCGCGCGAGUCGCGGGGUAUCGAGCGUACUUCGGUGCGUUCGUUAUGUUGCGAAACCCGUACAUGUCGAAGGCGUAAUGAAAGUGAAUGGGGAAGAUGGUGUUCCGAGUACACGUUCCGCGAUCGUCGGUAUCGCGGCCGGACACCCGCAUUCCCGGGGCGUCUCAACGGCCCGUCGCUGAUGCGGACUGUCGUCUUUCGGGGCGGCUGUCGGUCGGCGACGAACCGA